This 331-nucleotide unclassified non-coding RNA is filed under the name soil metagenome. RNAcentral describes it as "partial contains 5.8S ribosomal RNA, internal transcribed spacer 2, and large subunit ribosomal RNA". The stretch from base 1 to 120 matches the Rfam family "5.8S ribosomal RNA", at positions 35 to 154 of the family's 154-position model. The record is from RNAcentral.
GAUGAAGAACGUAGCGAAAUGCGAUAAGUAAUGUGAAUUGCAGAAUUCAGUGAAUCAUCGAAUCUUUGAACGCACAUUGCGCCCCCUGGUAUUCCGGGGGGCAUGCCUGUUCGAGCGUCAUUUCACCACUCAAGCCUCGCUUGGUAUUGGGCAUCGCGGUCCGCCGCGUGCCUCAAAUCGACCGGCUGGGUCUUCUGUCCCCUAAGCGUUGUGGAAACUAUUCGCUAAAGGGUGUUCGGGAGGCUACGCCGUAAAACAACCCCAUUUCUAAGGUUGACCUCGGAUCAGGUAGGAAUACCCGCUGAACUUAAGCAUAUCAAUAAGCGGAGGA